GGACCAAGGAGUCUAGCAUGUGCGCGAGUCAUUGGGACUCUAACGAAACCUAAAGGCGUAAUGAAAGUGAAGGCCCGCCUAGCGCGGGCCGAGGGAGGAUGGGUGUCCCCGAGGGGACGCCUCGCACUCCCAGGGCGUCUCGUUCUCAUUGCGAGAAGAGGCGCACCAUGAGCGUACACGCUGGGACCCGAAAGAUGGUGAACUAUGCCUGGUCAGGACGAAGUCAGGGGAAACCCUGAUGGAGGUCCGUAGCGAUUCUGACGUGCAAAUCGAUCGUCGGAACUGGGUAUAGGGGCGAAAGACUAAUCGAACCAUCUAGUAGCUGGUUCCCUCCGAAGUUUCCCUCAGGAUAGCUGGCGCUCGCUUCUCGCGAGUCUCAUUCGGUAAAGCGAAUGAUUAGAGGCAUUGGGGUCGAAACGGCCUCAACCUAUUCUCAAACUUUAAAUGGGUGAGAUCUCCGGCUUGCUUGAACUGUGAAGCCGCGAGAUAUCGGAUCAGAGUGCCAAGUGGGCCACUUUUGGUAAGCAGAACUGGCGCUGUGGGAUGAACCAAACGCUGAGUUAAAGCGCCUAAAUCGACGCUUAUGGGAUACCAUGAAAGGCGUUGGUAACUUAAGACAGCAGGACGGUGGCCAUGGAAGUCGGA
RNAcentral lists this ribosomal RNA (645 nucleotides) under Clinteroides permutans. RNAcentral's name for it is "LSU rRNA". It matches the Rfam family "Eukaryotic large subunit ribosomal RNA", at positions 663 to 1265 of the family's 3401-position model. The record is from RNAcentral. Lineage: Eukaryota; Metazoa; Arthropoda; Insecta; Coleoptera; Scarabaeidae.